RNAcentral lists this ribosomal RNA (496 nucleotides) under uncultured bacterium. RNAcentral's name for it is "partial 16S ribosomal RNA". It matches the Rfam family "Bacterial small subunit ribosomal RNA", at positions 29 to 507 of the family's 1533-position model. The record is from RNAcentral.
AUGAACGCUGGCGGCGUGCCUAAUACAUGCAAGUCGAGCGAACAGACGAGGAGCUUGCUCCUCUGACGUUAGCGGCGGACGGGUGAGUAACCCGUGGAUAACCUACCUAUAAGACUGGGACAACUUCGGGAAACCGGAGCUAAUACCGGAUAAUAUAUUGAACCGCAUGGUUCAAUAGUGAAAGACGGUUUUGCUGUCACUUAUAGAUGGAUCCGCGCCGCAUUAGCUAGUUGGUAAGGUAACGGCUUACCAAGGCAACGAUGCGUAGCCGACCUGAGAGGGUGAUCGGCCACACUGGAACUGAGACACGGUCCAGACUCCUACGGGAGGCAGCAGUAGGGAAUCUUCCGCAAUGGGCGAAAGCCUGACGGAGCAACGCCGCGUGAGUGAUGAAGGUCUUCGGAUCGUAAAACUCUGUUAUUAGGGAAGAACAAAUGUGUAAGUAACUAUGCACGUCUUGACGGUACCUAAUCAGAAAGCCACGGCUAACUACGUG